This is a long non-coding RNA of Solanum tuberosum (potato), 2183 nucleotides long. RefSeq lists it as uncharacterized. Lineage: Eukaryota; Viridiplantae; Streptophyta; Magnoliopsida; Solanales; Solanaceae. The record is from RefSeq and is a predicted model, not a curated record. The transcript has 2 exons.
CUUUUCCUUUUAUCUCUUUUCAAAAUUUUCCUCUUGAUCAAUAUUUCUUCUCAAGUUUUCCAUAAUAUCUCAUAAUUUAGGUUUUAUAACUCUAUUGUAGAUAUUUGAAUUGUUUUUAGCCGAAUCCCCACACCCGUAUCCAUAUGCAUGGAUCUGUAUUCCCGAAUUUUAAAUUUAGAUCAUAGAGGAUCCGACCUCUAGAUACGCACCCGUAUCAGACACCCGAACCUGAGUCCAAGCAACUUAGAUUUCCACAACUUUCAUCUUUUAGACGUGCGAGUCUAGAGUCCUUGAUAGGCCAACAGUUCGCCUCAUACAACUUAGCUGGUCUGACAAUCACUUUAUAAUACUUACCUUUUAAGUCUUGCACAUUCUUAUCACACAAGACACUUUGCGAGCCUUUAUUUCAUCGACUUUGCUCCAAUACGGUGUGUAACUUCAUCAUCAAUCUCCCAAUUUUUUUAGAUUAUUGACCCAAGAUACUUUAAACUUCCUCUCUUGGAGUUGACCUGUGUAACAAUCCUCACUUUCACAUCUACCUUAUGGGUAGCGUCGUUGAACUUUCAGUCUAAGUUCUAUUUCUUAGUCCUUCUCACCCUAAACCCUUUAGACUCCAAAUUCUGUCUCCAAACCUCCAACUUAUCAUCAAUCCACGACGAGUCUCAUCAAUCAUGUCAGUCACUUUAUCUUUUUCGCUCUUUCAUCAACAUCCAUGGUUGGAUUUACAAAUGCCAACCAACCCUAUUGAUUUUUGUUAUAUGGAAUGGUUUCUUCUUUGAUUCUUAAGAUCAAAGGCGGGAAUUCUCUCUGGAUUCCUAUCGGGCUGCUGUUAUGUGAACUGUUAGUGACAGGCUGGUUCAUUUCACAUUUUCUCACAAAAACAAUAAUCAGUAUAAAUUUCAAAGCUGUUUUUUUAUCCAUUAGUGAGUUGUACAAAAUUAAGUCUGUGAGACACACUUUUAGCUGAUUUUAGAGGAUGUAAAUAAGUUGCUAACAAUCUAUAAACCUCACAUUAACUUUAAAGGAUUCUACUCAAUACAAGUAGAGUUAAAGUAUUUGAUGAUAUCAUAGGUGCUAUCUGGUGUUCUGUUUUCUGUUAAUAUAGUAUAAUCCAACUCUGUGAAUAGUGGUCAUGAGUCUUAAGAAGGUGCUCAACGUUCAUUUACUUGAUGACUGAAGUAAUAGGGACGAUAAUCGUAUAUGCUGUGACUUUUUAGUCAAUACAAGUUGCAGCAAGAUGAUUUGCCUUUUUAUGCAAAGGCCAAAGCAUACAAAUUGUGUAUAAACUAGAGAUGGUUUAUUUCAUCAUAUGAGACCUUUAAAACACUAGAACCCAAAAUAAUUUAUUGCUGUCUUAGAGUUCUGCUCAUUCUGUUUUCAAGAACAGAUACUGUACAAUAGAUUCUCCGCAUUUCAUGGUGUCUUGUUGUGGUAGAUUCCACGGAUUUUUGAAAUUCUCCAUAUGUAUGUUGUUGCGUAGAGUAUUGAAAUAUGCAGCAAGCGAAAGAAGUUUGGAGUUGUUUGUGCAGGGGGACUUUAGAGUCAUGUCCUUAUGGUGAAGAUAGAUUUAUUACCUGCAAUGUUUGGAAAAUACGAAUUCCCAAUCUUUGUAGAUCAUAAUGCGCACCCCUUCACUUUUCUGAUUAUUAGUUGUUGUUAGAAAGUAAAAGUAAACUAUUUGCCAUAAUAACCAAUCUAUGUGCUUUCUAAUGUUCAUCUUCGACACAAUUCAUUACUCACUUACCGUUUACAUACAGGUUACAUCCACGUCCAGAAAGUGAUGUUGAAUAUUUGCAUGGUAUUCUUGAAUCAAUUGCUCGCAUUGAGGCAAAGGGAUACAAGUUACUGAAGGAUCUAGGGGCCACCCCUGUUGAAGAAGUGAUCACUUCUGGAGGAGGUUCUAAAAACCAAAAAUGGAUAAAGAUACGGGAGAGGGUACUCGGUUUGCCUGUGUGCAAGGCAGACCAGACUGAAGCUGCCUAUGGAGCUGCAUUAUUGGCAAUGAAGGGUGCUUGUGAAAAUGCAACAUCUGAUUAGAAAAGUAUAAUGUUACUGGUGUUAGAGCUUAUCUAGUAAUGAUUAUGCUAUACAUUUAUGCAAUAUUCCAAUUUAGUAGUGUCUGUAAGGAGCUUCUCAACGCAAAUUGUCUAUUUGAAGGAAAUUUCCAAAACAAGUAGUAUCAA